GCUAUACAAAAAAAAACCAUCAACAACAACAAAAAAGUAUAUUACCAGGUUAAUACCGUCUCUGAGAUAUGGGCAAAACCAGAGGUGAAAAAAAGGAAGUUACUGCUAAGUUGGAAACAAGAUGAGAAAGCUGACAUCAGAGGAUAAACAAGUGCCAAUCCUUGCCAGGAUGUAAGACAAAUUUGAAAAGAGACUUGUAGUGAGAUGCUCAGAAUCCACAUGCUGUGAGAAGAAUGGGAGCCAGAAAGAGAGAACACCUGAACUUAGUGUUUCUUUUGUCAUUUGUUCCUGGUUUGGUCAGAUCAGAGACUUGGAUGGAAAAAUUGGCAGGUGGGUCGCAGGUUCAUUUCUGACCCUGUGUAUUGGGGCCUUUUUUUUCUUAGAACCAACUUUCCUGUGUAGUCUAAAGGAAAUAGCAGAGUUGUGGGUUGAAAAACAUAAAAGACAAAAUUAGAAGACCGGGAAAAAAUGGUGAAAAAAAAAUCUUCCAAGCCAGAAGAAGAAAAUCUAUUGCUAGUAUUUUGUGAAAAGUUUCAGUGUUUCACCUAAAGUCAAAGAGACCAGGUUAAGGUAGCCCAAUAAAUGAGUUAUGGAAAGUGAGGUGAAAAUAAACAUGACAUCUUCAAGUACUGAGGACACAGCACACACAUUUUUGAUUGCUGUUUAUAUGGAAGCCAUCUGAAAGCAUUAACAUUUUCAUUAGUUAUUAAAUCUGAAAGCCUUAACAUUGUCAUUAGUUUCAAAGUUAGAGAAGGGCUCUCUAACUUUAAUGUUCUUUUGAACUACCUGGGGAUCUUGUUAAAAUACAGAUGCUAAGUUUCUGUAGGUUUCUGGAGUACGGUCCAAGAUUCUAAUAAGCUCCCAGGUGACCCAGAUGCUGCUGACUACAGCUCAAACAUAGAAGAAUGAUCCCUCCCUGACUUCCUCUUCUGUCCUCCUCCCCAUCAUAGAAUUUUAGAGUUGGAAAGGAUUUCAAAGAUCUUGUCCAGCUACUGCUAAAAUACUGAUUUUGGAAUGAGUGCCUUCAAAUCACCAGGGUCAUCUUAAAAAUCUAGAUUCUGAGGCUGAUGUCAUAGGUCUGUGAGAAGCCCCAGGUGUUGGUAUUUUUUUUGGGUUCCCCAGAUCAACUGAAAGAACAAUAAAGGUUUUUCACUGUUAGCACCUUCUCAUUUUAUAAAUAAGGAAAUAAAGGUCAUGAGUGGUUAUAUAACCCACUGAACAAGACCUAGUUGGUUGGUGUCAUCAGGACUAGAAUUUCAAGGCUGUUUUGCAGCACACUACUCUGCUAUUUCCUUUAGGCUACGCAGGAAAGUUGUUUCUAAGAAAGAAAAGCAAUUGCCUAUCCCUGAGCAAAUGAUUCUUAAGUGUAAACUAAAAGUCAGGUCCAGUGUUUAAUGGCAUGCCAUUCAACACAGAACAUUUUUCACUUGCUGGAAGCAAGCCCAAAGAGAUCUAAUAUGCAUUAGUUUCUAUCUUACCCUGAAAGGAGGUUGGAUAGAGAAGAGUACUGUGGAAAUGGAAAUGUUUUACCUUUUAUUCCUCUUGGAGAUACUUUCAUAGU
Ictidomys tridecemlineatus (thirteen-lined ground squirrel) is the source of this 1561-nucleotide non-coding RNA. Lineage: Eukaryota; Metazoa; Chordata; Mammalia; Rodentia; Sciuridae. The record is from RefSeq and is a predicted model, not a curated record.